UUUUAGAAUAACUUAUUACACAAUGAUAAAUAAUACAUCAGAACAAUUCUGAAAGGCAGUUAUUACAUCCUCAACAUCACUUGUUGAAAGUUCUCUUUUCCCAUUCAAUUACCUUAUGACCUUUAUUUUGUAUCAAUCGCUAAUAUGUGUGUGUGUGUGUGUGUGUGUGUGUAUGUAUGUACUUUGACUCUGUUCUCCUUAAUUGAUCCAUCUUUGCAUGAAUUGAUACUUUUAAUCCAUGAACUUGGUGUAUAUCUCCAUUUACUUAGGUCUUUUAGGUUUCUUUCGGCAUUGUUUUGUAGUUUUUAGCUUAGGGGUCUUUUGUUAGAUUUAAUUGUGGAUAACAUUUGAUUUUAUGACAUACCCCUCACUAAGACACUCAGUCUUCCUUACUGUUACCACAUACUAUGCCUUUGCAGUAUGUCUUUAUAUUUAAUAUUAUUUGCUAUUAUUUAAGAGUAACAUUUUUGAGAGAAAUUUUAAUGUUCACAGUCAUUGAAUAUCAUAAUGAAAUAAAACUUACUCAUAUUUUAGUAAGUAAAACUAGAGAGCCAUUAAACUGAACUGUACCACAUAAUCUUUAAAAUUCACCUCUUAAAGUUUCAUCUUUUUCUAAGCUGACUGCAAGCAUAUUUUAUAGUUUGCAAUACAUCUAAUCUAUAGUAUUUUCUGUUUUCUUUAAAAAUAUUGGUAUCUAAUAUUUUUAAAUUAUACACGCAUUCAUUAUACAUAAAUUUAAAAGCUGGAAUUCUUUGCUGAUCUGGGAAUCAGUGUUGACUUAUUAAUGAGGAGGUAUAGAACUCAUUAAUGUGUGAUAAGAUGUUAAAGAAUCCAUCCUUUGGCUAGGUGAAUGUUAAAGGACAGAAAAGGAAUUAGAGUCAAGUCCAGAACUAGGGAGUGGUAAAAUAGCCAAUAGUUACAAACCAAUAACCAUCACAUUGAUAGAUGGUUGUUAACUGAGAGUACUUCAGAGCAAUGCUGCAAAGUCAGAAGGAUCGCUGUGCCAGCAACAGCACACAAGGAAAUGCAAUGGUCUCAAACAAAAAGGUUGAGUGAUCUAAAUCAUUGUUUUCCUUUGACAUGCAAAAGUCUUAACAGUGGGCACAGGAAGGAGAGGUAAAAAAGUGUUCACUUUUGUGACCUCUGCACCUUUAUGCUUUCCUUCAUUAUGCAUAUGUUCACAAAAUCUCUCAGGAACUUCUUUCAAAAUUCAUAUGAACAGACUCAAUCUGCAAAGAAAACAGAUCAUGUGGAUCCCAAGCACACGUGUGUUUACACAAUGACCCCAAGUGGCAAACACUAACUAAAGAAUAUUACAUUUGUUAUCUAAUUUGUUUAACCCACACAGAACCCUGAGAGAAGUAUUAUGAACCUCGGUUUCCAAAAUAGGGAAAAUGGGUCUUUAUGAUGUAAUUAAUCAGGAAACCUCUCUAGUUAUUGUGCUUAUAACCACUCUGCUCUGCUACUCUCGUUAGUCACUAGUGGUUUACUUAAGGUCACUUCAUUACUAUAGUGGAAGUACUUGCAACGUGAAUGGCAGAAUUCCCAUAAGAAGCAGACUGUGGUAUCUGACCAGCAGAAGUCUCCCAAGAAGUGCUUCCACAGCUGUUUCCAACAUGCUCAUGGUUAUGUCCAUACGACUUCCUCUUCCAACUCUGCCCUCUGACACCAUGGGUGUGUGACCCAAGUACAGAGAGACCAUUUUCUAUGUGAAAAGGAUUAACACUGACAUAACGAGAGUUUUUCAAGGACCUCUGAUAAACAGGGAUGUGAUAUUUGUCCACAAAUCUAAGCACCAUUAUAUGUAGGACACCAGAGAAACUGGAGAUACUAAGAAUAUAAUUCAUAAAUACAAAAAUGUCUUUAAUAAUUUCUGUGUGGUGUUUAUUAAGGCUCAAAAAAUAAAUCCUUAAUCAAUAAAUUACUAAAAACAAAAUAUUAUUUUCCAAUUGUAAACACCUAUUAUUUUUUGCUGAAAUAUAUUUAAAGAAAUAUUUAUACAAUGUUGAUAUUAAUAUAGAUAUUGAUGUUAAUACUCAUAUUAAUACAAAAAUAUGUUAACAUUUGCUUAAGGUAUUUAUUUUAUAACAUUAUUAUGUUCAAAAAUAUAUUAACAUGAAUAACCUGCAAAUUGGUUCAUUAGUUUAUUAGACAAACCAAAACCAACCGUAUGCCCACUAUGCAUAUGGCCCAUACACUCAACACAUCACAGAGAAAGAGCACAAAUAAGGUAAACAAAUACAAGUUACAGUUUAUUUUUAGAGAAAUUUUAAAAUAAAACAUUAUAGAUGCUCUGUAAUUUUCCACUUAAUUUUCAUUGUCUAAUGUGUUCAUCUCUCUGAAAUCAUUUCCAAAAUGCUGUUUACCAAAAACAAGAAUAAUGUUUAGAGGCCUCAAAAAUGUUUGAGGUCAUACAUCAAAUAGGUUUUCUUUUUAUUCUUAAAAGCUAUCUGUAGAGUAUCUCUACUUGCCUUUUAGGUCUAUAUUAUUGGGCAUAUUGACCACUGGCUUCUAUCAAAAGCAGUUUGUUUAUUAGUCACUUCUGAGCAUUCUCUAAAUCAUUAAGGCCUGAAAAGUAUGGUAUGCAGGAGUGUCGGGUUGUUGUACAUGAAAAGAAAAAAUUUACUCUACUAAACAUACUCUGCAGAUAAAAAUUAUUGCAUGAAUUCAUGUCGUAAAGGGUAAAAAAAAGGGAGGGGCACAAAAACUGCUAAUGUCUCCCCAGAAGUCUGCACUGUUUGCUACCAAAAUUCCCUUUUUUAAUUGAAUUUUCAUAUCUAAAUCUUUUACACACAAUACCAAAAACUAACCCAUGAGCCAUGUGAAAUGAUACACAGCUGGAUGCUCCUUGCAGAUUUGCCGAAGCAUGACUCUCUUAAUCAAAAGCAUUUGGAUCUUUUUUAAUAAGCCUUGCAGUGAUUUAAAGAAUUUGAUCACAGCAGUUAUCAAGCUCACACAUCACACAGUUUGGUUAAAGGCCUUUUCACUGCUCAUUCACAUCAGCCAGACAUGACAAAAGAAUUCUCUAUGAUUACUUAGAGAAAUGUUCUCUAUUAUUCUAAAUGUUUCCAGUGGAUUAUGUCAUGUGUCAGAGAUUAUAGUAUAAUUUUGGUGGUGUUUAUUAUCUUAAUGUGGUGACCCAAAGUAUGGCACUGUUUCAGUGAAGUAUGUGGCAUCACAGAAGAUAGGCUUCACUUCAAUAAAAGAUAGUGAUAUAGUUUGGUUCUUUGUCCCCACCCAAAUCUCAUCUCGAAUUGUAAUCCCCAAGUAUGCAGGGAGGGACCUGUAAUAUCCAUGUAUCAAGGGAGGGAAGUGAUUGGAUUGUAGGGAGGGGUUUCCCCCAUGCUGGUCUCAUGAGAGUGAGUGGGUUCUCACAGGAUCUGAUGAUAUUAUAAGUGUCUGACAUUUCGACUGCUUGCACUUGUCUCUCCUGUAGCAAUGUAAAAAAGGUCCUUUCUUCCCCUUUGCCUUCCACCAUGAUUGUAACUUUCCUAAGACCUCCCU
Molecule: long non-coding RNA, 3504 nt
Filed under: Homo sapiens (human)
Lineage: Eukaryota; Metazoa; Chordata; Mammalia; Primates; Hominidae
Description: HSALNT0044703
Source: RNAcentral